This 496-nucleotide ribosomal RNA is filed under the name uncultured bacterium. RNAcentral's name for it is "partial 16S ribosomal RNA". It matches the Rfam family "Bacterial small subunit ribosomal RNA", at positions 28 to 506 of the family's 1533-position model. The record is from RNAcentral.
GAUGAACGCUGGCGGCGUGCCUAAUACAUGCAAGUCGAGCGAACAGAUGAGGAGCUUGCUCCUCUGACGUUAGCGGCGGACGGGUGAGUAACACGUGGAUAACCUACCUAUAAGACUGGGAUAACUUCGGGAAACCGGAGCUAAUACCGGAUAAUAUAUUGAACCGCAUGGUUCAAUAGUGAAAGACGGUUUUGCUGUCACUUAUAGAUGGAUCCGCGCCGCAUUAGCUAGUUGGUAAGGUAACGGCUUACCAAGGCAACGAUGCGUAGCCGACCUGAGAGGGUGAUCGGCCACACUGGAACUGAGACACGGUCCAGACUCCGACGGGAGGCAGCAGGAGGGAAUCUUCCGCAAUGGGCGAAAGCCUGACGGAGCAACGCCGCGUGAGUGAUGAAGGUCUUCGGAUCGUAAAACUCUGUUAUUAGGGAAGAACAAAUGUGUAAGUAACUAUGCACGUCUUGACGGUACCUAAUCAGAAAGCCACGGCUAACUACGU